UGGGGAGGAGCCAGCUUGGGAAGGCGGCGGGUUUUGGUCCCGCAACGACGUGGUUCGAUUCCACGCUCCCCAG
The sequence is a transfer RNA, 73 nucleotides long. It matches the Rfam family "tRNA". From Rfam's summary of the family: Transfer RNA (tRNA) molecules are approximately 80 nucleotides in length. Their secondary structure includes four short double-helical elements and three loops (D, anti-codon, and T loops).